Molecule: ribosomal RNA, 660 nt
Filed under: Roseovarius sp.
Lineage: Bacteria; Pseudomonadati; Pseudomonadota; Alphaproteobacteria; Rhodobacterales; Roseobacteraceae
Description: bacterial SSU rRNA
Rfam family: Bacterial small subunit ribosomal RNA
Source: RNAcentral
UGGCAUGGGGGCGGCUACACAUGCAGUCGAGCGAACCUUCGGGUUAGCGGCGGACGGGUGAGUAACGCGUGGGAACGUACCCUCUUCUGCGGGAUAGCCACUGGAAACGGUGAGUAAUACCGCAUACGCCCUUCGGGGGAAAGAUUUAUCGGAGGAGGAUCGGCCCGCGUUGGAUUAGGUAGUUGGUGGGGUAAUGGCCUACCAAGCCUACGAUCCAUAGCUGGUUUUAGAGGAUGAUCAGCCACACUGGGACUGAGACACGGCCCAGACUCCUACGGGAGGCAGCAGUGGGGAAUCUUAGACAAUGGGCGCAAGCCUGAUCUAGCCAUGCCGCGUGAGUGACGAAGGCCUUAGGGUCGUAAAGCUCUUUCGCCAGAGAUGAUAAUGACAGUAUCUGGUAAAGAAACCCCGGCUAACUCCGUGCCAGCAGCCGCGGUAAUACGGAGGGGGUUAGCGUUGUUCGGAAUUACUGGGCGUAAAGCGCACGUAGGCGGAUUGGAAAGUUGGGGGUGAAAUCCCAGGGCUCAACCCUGGAACUGCCUCCAAAACUCCCAGUCUGGAGUUCGAGAGAGGUGAGUGGAAUUCCGAGUGUAGAGGUGAAAUUCGUAGAUAUUCGGAGGAACACCAGUGGCGAAGGCGGCUCACUGGCUCGAUACUGAC